GUGUGGACUUCCUGUAAACACGGACCUACCGAUAACCCUUCACCAGUCUUAAACCAGCUGCAGUGAAAAGGCACCAAGUGAUGAGGAAGAUGGCUUUGUCAAUAGAAAGAACUUCCACUCCAUUAACACUCAGGUGAUCUGUGAUGCAACACUAAGGGUUACUGAACUUGUGGCAAGGUGGCCAGGUAGUACCCACGACUCCUUCAUAUUGAUGAAUUCGGGAACAGGCAUAAAAUUGAAUGAAGGAGAAAUGCCAGAUGGAUGGUUGUUAGGUGAUAGUGGCUACGCUCUACGACCAUGGCUGAUAACUCCAAUCCUCCACCCAACAACAGAGCCUGAACAGCGCUACAGCCGUGCACAACGCAAAACAAGAAGUGUUGUGGAGAGGUGCAUUGGGGUUGUCAAAUCCAGAUUUCGAUGCAUUGACUGCUCUGGUCGAGUGCUCCAAUACACCCCUGAAAAGGGGUGUAAAAUCAUGACCUGUGCCUUCAUCCUGCACAACAUCUGCAUGAUGUACCGGCUGCCUCUUCCGGAUGUUCCAGACCACCAUGAACCAGAGGGAGAUGGCCCCGUCCCCGCUCCAUGUAAUACCGGCAUUCAAGGGAGACAAGAGCUUGUAAGGAGGAGUUUCAUGUAAAUAAAUAAAUAAUAAACGACACCUGAAAAUC
Gadus morhua (Atlantic cod) is the source of this 668-nucleotide long non-coding RNA. RefSeq lists it as uncharacterized. The transcript has 4 exons. The record is from RefSeq and is a predicted model, not a curated record. NCBI's taxonomy places the organism in Eukaryota, Metazoa, Chordata, Actinopteri, Gadiformes, Gadidae.